CUUGAGGGCUUUGGGCACAACUGUGACAUCUCCAUACCCUGCAAACCCUUCAGAGAACCUGUGUCUCCUCUGAGGAGGGUGUUUUCACAUGUGUGAACAAGAAAUAACCCCCUUUUCCCCAAAGCUGUCCUUGGCAGGAAAUUAAAGCUUUCUCCUUAACUCUCCACGGACCUCUCAGAUGUACAGCUAGUGAAGCAGCUUGUAAAGGAAACACUUUCCCGCCACAGGAAGGCAUUUGUCUGCCUAAUGACCUGCAAGCAGGAAGGAUAUUCGGUAACCUCAUUUUGUUCUGUUGACCUUCGCCGGAGACACCUCAACUGAUCCUUUUAAAAGAAGAUGGGACAAUGAGCAUAAUGGGUGCUCAAGAAAACUUUCAGUUCAUUUUUCUCUGUCAGUUGAUUGUCUAUUUUAAUCCUUAAGCCUGUAAGUUUAAAUUUGUAUUUGUUCCACAGUCAUCUUUCAAACACUUCUGAUACACAAGGCUGUGUGCUAUGCAGGUGAGGAGACAAAGUAAACUCGUGUCCUGAGAGAGGCUCUGCUGUGGGGGCAGGCUCGGGGGGAGGCCGCAGUGUGCAAGACCGAGGUGGAAGCUGCACAGGACCAAAGGGCCAGGGAGACUGCCUAUGGCCGAUCUUUGUUGCCUCUUCUGCUCAGAAGCAUCUGGAUAAUACAAUUUUGGUUGCAGAUUUUGCUUAGUAUGUAUUUCUUCUAUUGAUGCACAUGAGUUGUGGUAUAUAUUGUGAGAGAGAUAUGGAU
RNAcentral lists this long non-coding RNA (756 nucleotides) under Homo sapiens (human). RNAcentral's name for it is "HSALNT0110567". Lineage: Eukaryota; Metazoa; Chordata; Mammalia; Primates; Hominidae. The record is from RNAcentral.